CCUACGGGGGGCAGCAGUGAGGAAUAUUGGUCAAUGGCCGGAAGGCUGAACCAGCCAUGCCGCGUGAAGGUCAGUGCCCUAUGGGCGUUAAACUUCUUUUGUGCGGGAGCAAUAAUGGUCACGUGUGGCCAGACGAGAGUACCGUACGAAUAAGCAUCGGCUAACUCCGUGCCAGCAGCCGCGGUAAUACGGGGGAUGCAAACGUUAUCCGGGUUUAUUGGGUUUAAAGGGUGCGUAGGCUGUGAGGUAAGUCAGCGGUGAAAUGCCCCCGCUCAACGGGGUGAAGUGCCAUUGAUACUGCCUGGCUGGAAUGCGGAUGCCGUGGGAGGAAUGUGUGGUGUAGCGGUGAAAUGCAUAGAUAUCACACAGAACACCGAUUGCGAAGGCAUCUCACGAAUCCGCGAUUGACGCUGAUGCACGAAAGCGUGGGUAUCAAACAGGAUUAGAUACCCGGGUGGUC
Molecule: ribosomal RNA, 460 nt
Filed under: uncultured bacterium
Lineage: Bacteria
Description: partial 16S ribosomal RNA
Rfam family: Bacterial small subunit ribosomal RNA
Source: RNAcentral